CGAGGCUGGAGCGCAAUGACGUGAUCUCGGCUCACUAUAACCUCUGCCCUCCAGGUUCAAGCAAUUCUCCUGCAUCAGCCUCCUGAGUAGCUGGGAUUACUGGCACACGUCACCAGGCCCGGAUAAUUUUUGUAUUUUUAGUAGAUAUGGGAUUUACCAUGUUGGUCAGGCUGGUGGUCUCCAACUCCUGAUCUAGUGAUCUGCCCGCCUCCGCCUCCCGAAGUGUUUGGAUUACAGGUGUGAGCUACCGCACCCGGCAACAAGGACAUUUUUAUACAAGCUGAUAGGGCUGUGAAUUCCUGGUUGUAUGAGACGUGAAUUCCUGGUUGCUCCACUCCAUCUUUCCGGAGUGGAGACCCCAAAUUCUGUUGGGGAAAGUGUACAACUACUGCUCUUAACUGCUUCCUGCCGACAAGGGGUGCUGUUUUGGGAAAGUGGCAGUUAAGGCUCCUCCUGAGAAUCCUCCAUCUCAGGAAGGCCCCAGUAUUGCCAGGCUGGGAGAAACCCAAGCCAUGAGGAUAGACCAUGAAUAGGAGUUCUGGUUGACAAUCCCAGUUCACUCCCAGCUUCAAAUACACAAGGCCAAGUGCCAGAUACGGGCAUAAAAAGCAAUUUUGGAAGUGGACACUCCAGUCCCAGCUGUCCUAGCCCUCAGCUAUUUGAGUUGCAUCCAGACAUGUAAAUCUUCCCAGCUGAGGCCUCAUCAUUGAGGUGCAGAAAAGGGGCAUGCCCAUUGUGCCUGUUUCUAAAUUCCUGACCCACAGAACCUCUAAUCAGCAAUACAACUGGGAUUUGAUAUCAGAUUCAUGCGAUUCCGAAGACCCUGACCACCAAAUGCAAAAGGUACAUGGCAAUAGCUGAUUGCAAUGAGAGAAAAACAACUAAUAAGGCAACAAGCAGGAUACCAAGAUAUUUUCCAAAGUGAAUAGCACUGAUUCUAUGAGGAAUGAACAUUGCCAAACAAGUGUUUUGUUUUGCUUUUCAACUCCUCUAAAAAAAUUCACAUAUAUGCAUGCCACUUUCCUGAAAAAUAUCUGCCUCAUAAUUGCCAUAAGAAACUGUAUGGACAACUCUUAAACAUUCUGAAAGUAGUCAGGGAUGGGGGAAAGCAUUUGCUAUUUUAGUCUGUUCCUGGUCUUAUAACAAAUACCACAGACUGGGUAAUUUAUGAUUACAGAGAUGCAUUUCUGAAAGUUCCAGGAGUUGGGAAGCUCAAGAUUAUGGCACCAACAUAUUCAUUGUCUGAUGAGGGCCUGUUUCAUAGAUGUCAUUUUGCAUGACUUAAUCACAGGGUAGGAAAAGCAAAGGGACAAAAUGGACAAAUGCCAUGUUGUCACAUGGCAGAAGAAAUGGAAGAGCCAGGAAGCUCUCAGAGAAGCUUCCUCUAUUAGGAUAUUAAUCUCAUUCAUGAGUGCACAGCCAUCAUAACUUAAUUGCCUCCAGAGGCCCCACUUCCUCAUCACUUAGAGGAUUAAACUUAAACAUGAAUUUGGAGGAAAUAUAUUCAAACUCUAGCACUAGUUUAAAUGUAGCUAAAAAGGUUUCUUCAUUCUGUAACUGUCAAUAUGCUAAUAUUUUUGUAAAUAUCCAAGAGGAAGCUAAAGCAUAUAAUAUUCCAAAAUUUAUUUCUGUUUGUGGAUAUUAUGUUUUCCUCUCAUUCUAUCUCAAGAAAUUAGUGUCCUCAAGAAACACUAUAUAGAAUAAUUGUCUUUCAAGUUCAUCAACUACUGGUUCUUGAUUCUUCAGUAGCUAAUCCUGGGUAGUAAUACUUAACAGAUUAUAAAAACUUGGGUGCUGCUAUAUAAAUGUGCUGAAACUCCCAGGGAAUCAAACAUAAGGACUUAAAGAGAGAUGUAACUAGGGAUCAUAAUCAUGAAUUUCAGCUGCUUCUCUAUCUUUGUCAGUGAGCAAAUGACCAUACAAAAUAAGGUAUUCAGUUAUUAAUUCUGUGCCCAUAUCCCGGAAUUUUGCCCAAUACAUUUGUAAGUUUAGAUAAAUAAGGCACUAAUGCCAGGGAUAUGUAGCAUUAGUUCUGGGUUUAUAAAGGGAUAUUCACAACCUCUUGCCAUCCACAGAAUUUAUCAGCCCAAAGUAAACUAUACUCGUUUGUUAAGGGCAACCUGAGACAUGUUUAAAACUGAGGUAGACUGAAGAGUCAACUAAUUGCAGGAAUCUUUUGUUAUUUGGUUGAAAUGUUCAAACAAGUCCCACUCUGAAUUCUAUUAGAAAUCCAUCAUUGGCUUAUCUCUGUUUCUCACUGUCUUAAAUCAUGUAUUUUAUAACACUAUGAAGAACGAUGUUCAAAAGAAUAAGCUAAAUUUAAUUAAUUAAAUUAUUUAUUUAUUUAUUUUGAGACAGAGUCUCACUCUGUCACCCAGGCCAGAGUUCAGUUGCACGAUCUUGGCUCACUGCAUCCUUCACCUCCUGGGCUCAAGAGAUCCUCCUGAAGCAGGGCAUUUCCCUGACCCCUUCAUGGGACUCGUGACAGGGGUGCCCCAUUUACUCAGCCCACUGCUCUCAACUCCUCGAGGGAGGGAAUGCACAACUGAACAAGGCAGGAACUGGAGUACAUGAGUGCUGGAACCAGUGGCCUCUUUGGUGCCAGAAGGAGUGAACUCACCCACUCUGACCUGCUGUGUUCCACACCUUGCAGGAGAGAGCAUGCAGGUGAGCAGGUACAGGAGCCAGGAAGAGAGCUUUGGGGUGUUGGCAGGAGCAAACUCCAUGUGGGCCCCAUAGCAGCACCUGGGUUUGAGGGGGUGCCUGUGAUUCCUGAAACCCCAGUGGGCAUAUUACAGUGCUCCUUUAGCUCUGCCAUCUUCAGACAGCUGAAGUGUUAGCAGCUCAGCAUGCCUUUUUGUAUCCACACUCACUCCCAAGCUCUUGUUUGGCAUCCAGGAAAAAUCAGCUUACAGGAACGAAUUGAAGGAUGAUAAAUGCAGAGGAUUUUAUUGCCAAGGAAAGUGGCUCUCAGCAGGAAGGGCAGCUGGGAAGGAGAUGUAGCAGGAAGGUUUCUGGCUGGACUCUUUUCCAAAGUUGCACUGUCAAGCUGUCUCUCUGAAAUCAAGCUGCUUCUCUCCAACGUCCAACCGUAGUCUCUGAUGCCCAGCUGCUGCUUCUCUUUUGAUGUUCAGCUGCUUCUCUUUUUUGCUAGCUGAGUCUGGGGUUUUUAUGGGCACAGGAUGGGGGACAGGGGAGGUCAUGAGUAACUUUGUAAAAGGCAACAUUUGAGUGGGAAAACAGGAAUGUAUGUUCUCACUUUGGGCUGUGGUUCCAGGCUUGAGGGUGGAGCCCUUGCCAGGGACCUGCCCUCUUUUGCCCAGAAUUUCCCCACCCCCCAUCCCUGUCACUCCCACCUCAACAUCCUGAGUAGCUGGGAUUAUAGGCGCACACCACCACAUCUGAUUAAUAUUUAAAAUUUUUGUAGAGACAGGGUUUUGUCAUGUUGCCCAGGCUGGUCUCAAACCCUGGGCUCCAGUGAUUUGCCCACCUCAGCCUCCCAAAGUUCUGGGAUUACAGGUGUGAGCCAGUGUGCCUGGCCCUAAAUAAUAUUUAUAUGGGCAUUUUGUAAUUAUUUUUUUUAAUAAUAUAAAUGUUUCUUUUUUAAUAUGAAUUUUUCAGGAGUUUUAAAAUUGACUGAUUAUUCAUUAAAAUUUAAUGAAGGACAGGAAUUGGCUAUUUUUCUGAAUGACAAAAAUUAGGAAAGUUUUUAGAGAGA
Molecule: long non-coding RNA, 3718 nt
Filed under: Homo sapiens (human)
Lineage: Eukaryota; Metazoa; Chordata; Mammalia; Primates; Hominidae
Description: HSALNT0077892
Source: RNAcentral